UAACAAAAACAUGUCUUCUUGAUAAUAUUUUUAAGUCUGACCUGCUCACUGAAUAAAUUUAAAGAGCCGCGGUAUUUUGACCGUGCAAAGGUAGCAUAAUCAUUAGUUUCUUAAUUAGAGGCUUGAAUGAAUGGUUUGAUGAGAAAUUAACUGUCUCUUAAUAAAUUUUAGAAUUUAACUUUUAAGUUAAAAGGCUUAAAUACUUCUUUAGGACGAGAAGACCCUAUAGAGCUUGAUAUUUAUAAGUUUUAUAUUAUUUUAGGUUAUCUUUUUAUGUAAUUUUUUAUUAUUUGGUUGGGGUGACAUGAAGAAUAAUUAAACUCUUCAUUAUUAAAUCAUUGAUUUAUGUUCAUUUGAUCCAUAAUUUAUGAUCAUAAGAUUAAGUUACCUUAGGGAUAACAGCGUAAUCAUUUUUGAGAGUUCAUAUCGACAAAAUGGAUUGCGACCUCGAUGUUGGAUUAAGAUUAAUUUUAGGUGUAGUAGCUAAUAAUUAGUCUGUUCGACCUUAAU
This 510-nucleotide ribosomal RNA is filed under the name Bryodemella tuberculata diluta. Its description in RNAcentral is "partial 16S ribosomal RNA". It matches the Rfam family "Archaeal large subunit ribosomal RNA", at positions 1897 to 2660 of the family's 2987-position model. The record is from RNAcentral. Lineage: Eukaryota; Metazoa; Arthropoda; Insecta; Orthoptera; Acrididae.